GGGCACUCUAAGUUGACUGCCGGUGACAAACCGGAGGAAGGUGGGGAUGACGUCAAAUCAUCAUGCCCCUUAUGAUUUGGGCUACACACGUGCUACAAUGGACAAUACAAAGGGUAGCGAAACCGCGAGGUCAAGCAAAUCCCAUAAAGUUGUUCUCAGUUCGGAUUGUAGUCUGCAACUCGACUACAUGAAGCUGGAAUCGCUAGUAAUCGUAGAUCAGCAUGCUACGGUGAAUAC
Molecule: ribosomal RNA, 237 nt
Filed under: Staphylococcus sp. SKL71187
Lineage: Bacteria; Bacillati; Bacillota; Bacilli; Caryophanales; Staphylococcaceae
Description: partial 16S ribosomal RNA
Rfam family: Bacterial small subunit ribosomal RNA
Source: RNAcentral